GCCCGGUGGCCACAGCGCAUACAUACAGUGGCCGUCGCCUCUCAGCCGUCGUGCUUCGCGUCUCACUCUCGAUCACACACGGGCUCACACUCACAAUUCUUUCUGCCAAGAUGACGAGGACGGCUACCCUGUCGACGCUGCUCCUCCUGCCUCUCGCAUUCCUCCUCCUCCUCCCAGUGCCGGUACCAGCUCCGCGGGGCACUAUCUGCACUAGCCAGAUCAUCAGGAACACCAUCUCUCCGUGUGACCGCGAGGGAUGUUUAUUCUGGGUAGCCUACGCCCAGAUAGGGUGCCCUACUGGUGCGGUCUGCGACUGGAACGGCGUGUGCAGCAGGCAUGACUGCAACUUCACCUUGUGCAAGAAUUAUGGGAACCACCCUGCAGCUGCAACCACCUUACUUCCCUAAGAAAAGAUUAUAGCAUGUCGAUCUAGCUAGCUAGUAGAAUAACCAUUAUACGUACCUGAAACAAUAUAUAAAAACACGUACAGCUAUGCAACUAUAUUACUUGUUUCGUCGCCAAAUAAUACUCGUCUGGUCUGCGUUCUCAUGCGUGCCAUCAUCGUCUUCGUCCUUCUCUACGCGCACGGAUUCAUUUGAGUUGGAGCACCACCGAGCCGUCGAUUUCGCCCGUCUUCUCCGACUACGGCCGCCGUUCAUCAGCACCGAUACGAUUCAUCGCCGAUAAAGCAUCCCCGAGCCCACUGACCUGCCUCGUGUGCUGUGAGCUCCACGCCAUUCCUCCCCUUGUACUCCUCCUUGCGCACGUCCUCUAGCCGCGUCGGUCACCAGCCCGAGCUCCGGCCGUCGCCAUGGCCGUACGUCGAGCUCCUCAGCUUCAACAAGCGCUGCACCAACGUGUUCCUGGUCUGGUGAACCGUUGAUGCCUCCCAGCCGCUCCGUUUGCUCCAACUCGCGCCCUAAUUAACGCCGACGCCCGCAACCAUCGAACCCCGGUCGCCACUUGGCAUGUCGCCACCGCCACAGGGCAUCCCCGACAGCCCCGAGGGCACCAAUGGAAGCGCCGCACCUCCAGCUCCCCAGCGCACCCACUCGCGCGUUCUCCCAUCUCCUGUGGGGCAAUUCCGGCGAGGUCCCGCUCUGCCGCCGCUGCGUUCGGUCGUCGCCGGCGCGCGCCGUCAGUUUAAACCGGGCCCUGGGUCACUGCCAGUGGGCCCAGACGGAUUAACUACUGAUUAGUGCUAACCCUAAUUGCUGCUAACAGACACUUACAUGUGGGUCCCGAUGCUAAUAAAACAAGGUUAAUACAUAUAUUAACUCUGUGUCACCAAUAGGUGGUCCCCACCUGCUAGUUUGACUGGUUAAAGAUUGACCCAGUCAAUGCUGCUGGCCUGCUGACUAGGCAGCCCUGGCCCAGUGUCAGCCUCAGUGGCUAGCCCAAUGUUAGGUGACAAAAGAAUUUUCUGUGCAUAAUUCGAAUUAAAAAUAAAUACUGUACAUAAUAAAUCAUUUAAACUUUGAAAAAUCAUAUAAACUAAACCAUAGCUUAGAUGAAAAUAGUUUAUAUAUAUAUAAUGAUUAGAAAAAUAUGACAAACCAAAAUAUGCCAUCCAUAUAUCUGCCACACCCCUCUAACAUAAUGAACAUGGAACAUUUGCACCUGGAUCAACACAAAUUGAUGUUGGAUAUUAAUAUACUACUCCCUCCGUCCCAUAAUAUAAUAUAGAAGCGUUUUUUACACUGACAAAGGAAGUAUUUUACAAUUUUCAGUAAAUAAUAAAUUAAUUUUUUGUUAUUGUUUUCUCCCCUUUUACGAUCUAAUUAUACUCACUAUUUAUAUACUACCACUGUUUCUAAAUGUAAAAUGUUUCGGAAGUUUAAAUUAAAUUGUCAAAAUGUCAUAUAUUAGGAACUGAUGGUGUGAUAAAUUGUAUGAUUUUUUUUUACUUUAGGUCAAUGAAUGCACAUUUGAUCGAGAUAAAUGUAUACUCCUACUUGCUGUAACUUGCAUAAAAAGGAACAAAUAGGAUAGUAGAUCGACUGAGAGUCACACUGAGUGUAGCGUUGUGGUAUGGCUACAGAGAGGACAACCAUGUAUCGAGGAACUUCUGUCUCCUAAAUUAACUCUAUGAUUAUGAAAUAAAACUCUUGUAUCCUUGCAAAAAGGAAACUUGCACACAAAAAUUGUAUUCCAAAGUUUCAAGCAACUGAAAAUGGUAAACAAUACCUUUAGGAUUGGCCGUUCAUCUUCCACCUCGAGAGCAUUCCCCACAAAUCUGUAAGUUUUCAUUUCCUUCCUAUAUAUUUUCUCUUCCUACUUGAUGUCUCACCUCUCCACCUGUACUCCCCAUUUCUAUCGCACUUUACAGUCCCCCCUACCCCGUACCACAUUACCUUGCUUGUUGCCGUCGCGGAGGAGAUGCAUAUCUCGUUCUCGAUCCAACGAUGGCGGCAACCGGUUCGCAGAGAAAGAAGUCCCACUAAUCUCUUCAUGCUCGUUCCAAGUUCGAAGCACCUUUUGGCGAAAGAAAAAUCCGCUUCCUGACAACGGGGAAUAGGGAUGGUUGGACAUGACAUGAUGGGACUGUUGAAAUAUAUUGUUUGCAUCUCUC
Triticum aestivum (bread wheat) is the source of this 2572-nucleotide long non-coding RNA. RefSeq lists it as uncharacterized. The record is from RefSeq and is a predicted model, not a curated record. NCBI's taxonomy places the organism in Eukaryota, Viridiplantae, Streptophyta, Magnoliopsida, Poales, Poaceae. The transcript has 2 exons.